UACCAGCACCCCGAGUGGUCGGGACGAUUAUUGGGCCUAAAGCAUCCGUAGCCGGUUCUACAAGUCUUCCGUUAAAUCCACCUGCUUAACAGAUGGGCUGCGGAGGAUACUAUGGAGCUAGGAGGCGGGAGAGGCAAGCGGUACUUAGUGGGUAGGGGUAAAAUCCGUUGAUCCAUUGAAGACCACCAGUGGCGAAGGCGGCAUCCUGGACCGACACUGACGCUGAGGUGCGAAAGCGUGGGGAGCAAACAGG
RNAcentral lists this ribosomal RNA (253 nucleotides) under uncultured bacterium. RNAcentral's name for it is "partial 16S ribosomal RNA". It matches the Rfam family "Archaeal small subunit ribosomal RNA", at positions 474 to 727 of the family's 1478-position model. The record is from RNAcentral.